This 1725-nucleotide long non-coding RNA is filed under the name Rattus norvegicus (Norway rat). Its description in RNAcentral is "long non-coding RNA NONRATT029879". The record is from RNAcentral. Lineage: Eukaryota; Metazoa; Chordata; Mammalia; Rodentia; Muridae.
UUUUUAAAAGUAGCAAUAAGUCAAAAAUUUAAUGAAUCUAAACAAGUUCGAUUAACAUGCAACCACAUUUAACAUGACGACUUAUCUUAGAACGUACAAAAGAUUAUGAAAUCAUGUUUAUUUCUUCUUUGGUACAACCAGACAUGUUAUCUCAAACUUUUAAAAUAAAUAAUGUCAGCCACAAAACAUAUGCACGUUGGGGUAUCACUUCUUUGCUUUCACGUGGAUCUUACAAUGCGAGUGCGUUUGGAGCGCAGUAUAUUCACAAAUUCAGAAUAAAGAUGAGAACCACCAUCUAUAGAGACCACUUCUGUGACACGGCCCUGAUGAAGAUUUUAAGCACCAAUUUUGUUGAAUGUAGUGGGUUUUGUUCCUUAGCAGUACUUGACACAACUGAUUGUUCAAAUCUCAGGUCAAUAUCUUAAUUGAAAUAAAAACAAUGACAGCAAGUGAGGUAAACUGAACAGUUUGCUGCUGCUGCUGCUGUUGUUGGCACAGUGGCCCACAAUACAUCAUAUAUGCACUCAUAGCACACUAAAAUCCAAAAGCCCAGGAGGAGGAUUUAUAAAUUUGCCUAAAGAGAAAUUGAAUUUGACUUUUGUCUGAUGACGCUCCUGAAGGAACAAGACUUAACGGAAUAGCACCAGUUCUUCUAAAUCCGAUUGUCAUAUAGCACGUGUGUAGUGAUGUCUGAGGUGAAACCUUUUAGUCGUUGCCCCACUGUUGGAUAUAUUGUUUCUCCCACAUGCUCCUCUACCAGGCACGGUGUGUAUAGGGGAGUCUAGAACACGAAGGCUUUCACUUGUCAGGCCCUUUGCUAAAUGCUCUUUGACCUGCCUGAAGGGUGCAAGAGGCUGGCUCACAGAAACCAGGAGGGCCUGGAGGACCUGGGGGCCCAGGCACACCAGGAAUUCCUGCCACUCCUGGGGGACCUUGCUCUCCAUCUCGGCCAUUUUUCCCAUAGCUGGCAGGGCCUGGAUCACCUGAAACAGACAAAAAGCCCACACAUGUGAACAAACUGUUGAUUAGCAGAAGACACUAGACCCUCGGAGCCUAGCAGCCUGCAAACAAAUGCCUUUGGAGGGGACCCAUGACGCUGAGAUGAGGAAACCCCAUUAGUGGGUGUGGCUUUCAUAGAAAUCAAAGGCAGAAAGUCAUUUUAGUGUGUCUCCCAUAUCUGCAUCAUGGCGCCCUCUAGACGUCUAUGUCUACUGAAUACUGAAACGUGACUGGCCCAGUUGAGGGGAAUUGCAGGUAUAAAAUGAAGCUGUUGGAAGGUUUAUCGAGGAAAAUGUUUAAGGUGUUUUAUUAAUGUAUUUUAGGCUUAUUACCUGAUACGAUAGUAUUUUGAACCUAGUGAGUGAAAUAAACUGCACAGGCAUCCCUCAGUUUACAGUGUGGUUAGGUUGAGAACAUAGAUUAAGUCAAAAGUGCACCCUGGUGCCAAACAGCAGGACUUAGUGACCGGCUCACCACAGAGUACUCAGGUCUUUCUACUCGGGAGUGCCCCGCCAGCUCUGUGCUUCCUGGCAUUGGGGGAGCAUCAUAUCACGUGUUGCUAACUCCAUAAAAAGAUCAAAAUUCAGAAUUUUUAAGUUGAGUUUCUACCAAAUUUGUCUCGUUUCGUGUCAUUGUAAAGUGGAAACGUCUGAGGUUAACUGUAUUAAGCCAGUGACUAGCUGUGUUAUUAAAGUUAAUUUCGGCUGGCUCUGCACCUUGCGUGGU